Molecule: long non-coding RNA, 407 nt
Filed under: Mytilus galloprovincialis (Mediterranean mussel)
Lineage: Eukaryota; Metazoa; Mollusca; Bivalvia; Mytilida; Mytilidae
Source: RNAcentral
CCUGGCCAUAUGUUUUCUUUUUGUCAUAUUAAGAAUUGUUUUAAUUUAAUAUGUUCGUACGGAAAACAAGGAACAUUAUUCUCAUACAAAAAAUUAAGAUAAUUCUAAAUACACAUUCAUAAAAAAAAAAAAUGGAAUGUAUUACAAAGGAUAAUCAUAAGAUAUACUUGAAUUGUCCUGGACCUCACUUCUGUGAUGGGUAUAUGUUAAUGGCAUCCUUCUCUGAAUACGGGACAAACAUAUUAGUAGUGGUAGACCCCAAUGGCCAAAGUUCUUCAAUUUAUACCGAAUAUUGACUGUCAAAAAAAAUGCUAACAUUCCAAUUUUCAAUAACAGUUAACAGCAAAUACAUUAUCACAAUAACAGAUAACAAAAAAACUAAAAGCCCAAUAACAGCUAACAAAGAA